UAUCUCUCCGUACGGGGAAGGAUGAGAAGCUUCGACUAAGGUUCGAUUCGAGCGCAGCGAGAAAGCGUUGCCGCAGGCAACGACCCGAAGGGC
RNAcentral lists this small RNA (93 nucleotides) under Salmonella enterica. RNAcentral describes it as "partial RtT sRNA". It matches the Rfam family "RtT RNA", at positions 1 to 92 of the family's 130-position model. From Rfam's summary of the family: This family represents a bacterial cis-regulatory element known as RtT RNA. The exact function of RtT is unknown although it is thought that it may be involved in changing the cellular response in relation to amino acid starvation. RNAcentral also lists the same sequence under 1 other name. The record is from RNAcentral. Lineage: Bacteria; Pseudomonadati; Pseudomonadota; Gammaproteobacteria; Enterobacterales; Enterobacteriaceae.